RNAcentral lists this ribosomal RNA (465 nucleotides) under uncultured bacterium. RNAcentral describes it as "partial 16S ribosomal RNA". It matches the Rfam family "Bacterial small subunit ribosomal RNA", at positions 28 to 507 of the family's 1533-position model. The record is from RNAcentral.
GACGAACGCUGGCGGCGUGCUUAACACAUGCAAGUCGAACGGAAAGGCCCCUUUGUUGGUACUCUAGUGGCAAACGGGUGAGUAACACUUACAUAACCUUCCCUUGCCUUUGGGAUAACUUUAGGAAACUGGAGCUAAUACCGGAUAGGAAUCCUUGCUUCAUGGUGGGGGUUGGAAAGCUUCGGCGGUUUUGGAUGGACUCUCGACUUAUCUGCUUGUUGGUUGGGUAGUGGCUUACCAAGGCUUCUUCGGGUAGCCGGCCUGAGAGGGCGACCGGCCACACUGGGACUGAGGUACGGCAGAGAUUCCGAAGGGUGGGAGCAGUGGGGAAUAUUGCACAAUCGGCGGAAGCCUGGUGAAGAAACGCCGCGUGCGGGAUGACGGCGUUAGGGUUGAAGACCGCUUUCAGAAGGGGCGAAGCUUGUGGUGACGGUACCUGCAGAGGAAGCAACGGCUAACUACGUG